RNAcentral lists this small nuclear RNA (107 nucleotides) under Microcebus murinus (gray mouse lemur). The record is from RNAcentral. Lineage: Eukaryota; Metazoa; Chordata; Mammalia; Primates; Cheirogaleidae.
GUGCUCGCUUCAGCAGUACGUAUAUUAAAAUUAGAAUGAUACAGGGAAGAUUAGCAUGGCCACUGCGCAAGGAUGACACACAGAUUCGUGGAGCAUUCCAUAUUUUA